CUGGGCUCAAGCUAUCUUCCUACCUCAGCCUCGUGACCAAUACUGAAGGGACUGAAGACAUUUCUCUCUGUCUCUCUGCAUUUGUGUAUAUGUCCUGUCACCGAACCUCUGCAAACCAAAGAUGCAUUCCCUGUCUCAUAUUAAUGCUGCAACAUAACUGAUAAGAUUUUGAGCGACUUUACGA
Cercocebus atys (sooty mangabey) is the source of this 184-nucleotide long non-coding RNA. RefSeq lists it as uncharacterized. The transcript is spliced from 3 exons. The record is from RefSeq and is a predicted model, not a curated record. NCBI's taxonomy places the organism in Eukaryota, Metazoa, Chordata, Mammalia, Primates, Cercopithecidae.